Molecule: ribosomal RNA, 253 nt
Filed under: uncultured bacterium
Lineage: Bacteria
Description: partial 16S ribosomal RNA
Rfam family: Bacterial small subunit ribosomal RNA
Source: RNAcentral
UACGUAGGGUGCAAGCGUUAAUCGGAAUUACUGGGCGUAAAGCGUGCGCAGGCGGUUAUGUAAGACAGGUGUGAAAUCUCAGGGCUUAACCUUGGAACUGCAUUUGUGACUGCAUAGCUAGAGUACGGUAGAGGGGGAUGGAAUUCCGCGUGUAGCAGUGAAAUGCGUAGAUAUGCGGAGGAACACCGAUGGCGAAGGCAAUCCCCUGGACCUGUACUGACGCUCAUGCACGAAAGCGUGGGGAGCAAACAGG